GACAGAGGGGGCAAGCGUUGCUCGGAAUUACUGGGCGUAAAGGGCGCGUAGGCGGGAUGGCAAGUCGGUCGUGAAAUCCCUCGGCUCAACCGAGGAACGUCGAUCGAUACUGCUGUUCUUGAGGAUUGCAGAGGAGACUGGAAUUCCCGGUGUAGCGGUGAAAUGUGUAGAGAUCGGGAGGAACACCGGUGGCGAAGGCGGGUCCCUGGGCAAUUCCUGACGCUGAGGCGCGAAAGCGUGGGGAGCAAACGGG
Molecule: ribosomal RNA, 253 nt
Filed under: uncultured bacterium
Lineage: Bacteria
Description: partial 16S ribosomal RNA
Rfam family: Bacterial small subunit ribosomal RNA
Source: RNAcentral